Molecule: ribosomal RNA, 253 nt
Filed under: uncultured bacterium
Lineage: Bacteria
Description: partial 16S ribosomal RNA
Rfam family: Bacterial small subunit ribosomal RNA
Source: RNAcentral
UACAGAGGGUGCAAGCGUUAAUCGGAAUUACUGGGCGUAAAGGGUGCGUAGGUGGUUAAUUAAGUCAGAUGUGAAAUCCCCGGGCUUAACCUGGGAAUUGCAUUUGAAACUGGUUGACUAGAGUAUGGUAGAGGGAAGUGGAAUUUCCGGUGUAGCGGUGAAAUGCGUAGAUAUCGGAAGGAACAUCAGUGGCGAAGGCGACUUCCUGGACCAUUACUGACACUGAGGCACGAAAGCGUGGGGAGCGAACAGG